GACUWUAAGUCUCCUGAAGGAACGUUAAAGACGAUGACGUUGAUAGGCCGGGUGUGUAAGCGCAGCGAUGCGUUGAGCUAACCGGUACUAAUGAACCGUGAGGCUUAACCUUAC
Molecule: ribosomal RNA, 114 nt
Filed under: Klebsiella pneumoniae subsp. pneumoniae KpMDU1
Lineage: Bacteria; Pseudomonadati; Pseudomonadota; Gammaproteobacteria; Enterobacterales; Enterobacteriaceae
Description: partial 23S ribosomal RNA
Rfam family: Bacterial large subunit ribosomal RNA
Source: RNAcentral